Molecule: small RNA, 554 nt
Filed under: Pongo abelii (Sumatran orangutan)
Lineage: Eukaryota; Metazoa; Chordata; Mammalia; Primates; Hominidae
Description: processed transcript
Source: RNAcentral
GUGCACUUGUUUUCCAACAACUGAAUUGAGUUUCCUUAAAAGAUGAACCAUAUUUGACAUUACAUAAACAUACCAUACAGACCCCAACGAGGACAAAACUUUUGGUUUGAAGAAUAAGAAAGGAGCAAAGCAACAGAAGUUUAUCAAGGCUGUCACACAUCAAGUUAAAUUUGGUCAACAAAAUCCACGUCAGGUAGCACAGAGUGAAGCUGAAAAGAAAUUGAAGAAGGAUGACAAGAAAAAAGAAUUGCAGGAGCUAAAUGAGCUGUUCAAACCUGUAGUUGCUGCUCAAAAAAUAAGUAAAGGUGCAGAUCCCAAGUCUGUGGUAUGUGCAUUCUUCAAGCAAGGACAGUGUACUAAAGGCGAUAAGUGUAAGUUCUCCCAUGACUUGACUCUGGAGAGAAAAUGUGAAAAGCGAAGUGUUUACAUUGAUGCAAGAGAUGAAGAACUUGAAAAAGAUACUAUGGAUAAUUGGGAUGAGAAAAAGCUGGAAGAAGUAGUGAACAAGAAGCACGGUGUGCAAGCAUUUCCUUGAAGCUAUUGAAAACAACAAG